GCGGAGGCGAACCGGCUGCGACGAUGAAGCCGUCGUCCACGACACGGAAUCCGGUGCGAAUCCGGAACGGUCGGGCCACUGUGACCCAGCGUGUGCUGGCAAGUCAGAGACGUGCGCGGACGCAGUUCCUUUGG
Molecule: unclassified non-coding RNA, 134 nt
Filed under: Micropruina glycogenica
Lineage: Bacteria; Bacillati; Actinomycetota; Actinomycetes; Propionibacteriales; Nocardioidaceae
Source: RNAcentral